ACUCUAUACUAAAGCAGCUUGGCAUCUUACCAUGGCAUAGCACCAGGUCACAUCUAACCUCAUAAUCACCUUGUACCAUAAUCACCACGGCCACCAAAACUUUAUGGUGACACAAAGAUGCAAAACAAGCCCAAUAAAACCGAACAAAAAAAAUACAUGUUGUGAUGUUCCCUUGCUGAUGCAAAUCUCUAGGUCAUCCAUGAACCAUAAAGUGGCAGUGUUUUCUUAUCCUUAU
Molecule: non-coding RNA, 235 nt
Organism: Pelobates cultripes (western spadefoot toad)
Lineage: Eukaryota; Metazoa; Chordata; Amphibia; Anura; Pelobatidae
Source: the annotation of a GenBank genome assembly